CCACACCCUCAGGCCCAGCCCGAUCCACACCCUCAGGCCCAGCCCGAUCCACACCCUCAGGCCCAGCCCGAUCCACACCCUGAGGCCCAGGAAAAGGAGACAUUUUAGAUUUUAGAUUUACACCCUGUCUCUCUCCCUGUGAAGGAACAACCCCCCCCCAAAAAAAGAAAGUGUUGCCGGAAAUGUAGUAGGCAAAAAGUUUUCAAAUAUGACUCCAUAACAGGACGAAGGAUAAAUGAGGGGCAAGAGGAAGUAAGGGUGAAAUGGUUACCUUGCUCUGCAUGUGGAAAAAUCUGGGAGGAGACAUGGGAGCCGGCCUGCCAGUUCUCACCAGGUGCCAACCAUGUGUAAUGUCACACAUUGGUCUGUAAUUCAAUGAGUUAAAUACCUGCUAUGAGAUGUCAAGUUUGCCGUUACGGGCCCAGCCAUCCUGCUUGCGGAUGUGACUACUUUAGAUGAGGAGGAGCCGCGUUACACACUUUCAAUGGUUUCCACCCUAACAUGCUGUCAUGCUGUUUUUUCAUUUAUUUUUUAAUUAUUGAUU
Molecule: long non-coding RNA, 544 nt
Organism: Micropterus salmoides (largemouth bass)
Lineage: Eukaryota; Metazoa; Chordata; Actinopteri; Centrarchiformes; Centrarchidae
Exons: 4
Source: RefSeq, a predicted model, not a curated record